UCAAAUUAGAGAAAAAUGUAUGAUAAAAAAGUUUUUUGAUUUAGAAACAUCUAUUAUGAUUUCACAAUUUUGUAAUUGUUAACAACAUUUUAGGGCGGUUUUGGGGGGUCAACUUUAUAAAUUCAAAUAGAAACCUAUACUUUUUUUGCAAUCAUAAUGUGGGGGAAUUUUUUUAAUGAAUUUUAGUGAAUGAACAACAUUAAUUAAUGCAAAGCUCUAUGCUUGAGAGCUAUUUACAAAUUUUAGAAAUUGCAAUAAAUUGACCCCAUGCCAACAAGUAGGUAGCUAAUAGUGUCACUACUAUCAACUCGUUUACAACUACUGUCAUACCCGUUAACCUAUUCAUAGAAAAAAGAGAUAAACCACUGCACUAUCAAUCGUCAACCACCUCGUAAGCAUUAAUCAUACUCAAAAGGUGAUAUCCUUAAUAUAACUUAUAAUGAGUAAUGACCAUUGACCGAUAAGCAGAAUAUUGUUCGUUUCGAAUAUCGAUAAGUACCUACGAGUGGCAGCGAUUACUACAGAACCCACGGCUUAUAAUAUCUAUGCUUAUUACCUUUUGAUAUAACUUCACACAGUGAUACCGCAAAAUAAAUUAAAUUAAGUUAAUUCUGUGGUCACUGGUCACACUAAAAAGCUAACCUUAAACUGUUUCAUUGUUGUAUUCUAAAUUCUAAUAUAAUAUGAUAACUGAUAAGUAUUCAAAUAUUUAAUAUUGUAUAUUGUAUAAGACUCACCAUCGCAUAUUCGCAAUCCGUAUAACUUAAAUUUGAAUUUGAAAAUAUAUGUAAUAAAUAAUAUGUGAAAAUGCGUUUUUUAUAAUACUGUAAUUUUUAAAGUAUUUCAUUUAUAAAUAAUCCAAUUUAAAAUAUGCUAUAAUUACUGGUAUUAUGCAAGCAAAUUGGAUACUUGGUUACUAUAGAAUACUUUUGCAACAUUUUUGGUAAGUUUCCUUGAAAUUGAGCAGUUAAAAAUCAAUGAAUAUUUAUUAAGAUUAUAACCUUAUGCUUUAUAAUCUGUUUUUCUUUUAGUCGAAUCUGUUAUUCUGGAUAAAAUACAAUUUUUAUUUAAAUAUUGUACCUAUACAUAUGGAUCACUUAAAUUGUCUGUUGCUUGCGGAGAAAAUGUGUCACUUGCACAGUUGUACAGUAAGAAACAACACUUCAUAAAGAGUGAUAGGUUUCUGGUUAUUUACAAGCAAACACAGUUAUAGAAAAAAAUACCAGUGAAGCAAGUAUGAGUGUUUUAUUAUACAAUAUUCAUUGAAAAAUAACAUAAUCAAGCUACAUAAUAAUACAAUACAAACACCCAAGACAACAGACAUCUUGGACACUGUCUAUAAGAAUUAUUAUUUUAAUAUUUCCUAUUCAAAUUCUGGGGAUUCUACAUUUCAAUACAAAUAUAACCCAGAUUUCAAUAAGCAAGUUUCAACACAAAUUUUCAAAAUAUGCAUUGAUAUAAUGAAAAAUAAUAAUACUUUAUUUUCAUGAUAUAUUAAUUAUGGAUUGACAAUAGAAUAAAAUAACUAGUAAAUUUAAAGUUAACUCAUCAAAAUAAAAUUCUCACACACAAAACCUACAAUUGCAAACAAAUGAUUUGGAAAGACACCUUGAACAUGUUAGACUGGUGAAUGUGAUACAAAUUUUUCUUCAACAUUAUAUGGGAAAAACAAAAUUUCAUAAUAAUGGGCAGGUUCAAUCAAAUCAAGAUAACUUACUUUUACCUUUGACAAAAUUUUAGUUGAUAAUUAAUUUUAUAUAUUUAAAAUGUGUAACUAAAUAUUGAAGCAUUAUUAUAAUAACUAUUUCUUAUAAGUAGGGCUAAGAGUUUUUUUUUUUUUUAAUACUAAUAUUGUUUGUUUAACUUUGAUGUUCAAACAAUUUCAUCUUAUACCUAAUCUAACACUUAAUAAAAAAAAAUAAUAAGUAAUAAAGAUAGUAAUAAAGACUGAAGUCAUGAUAAAAGAUAUAUGAAAAGCUUAUAUUUUAUAGUAAAAAUCAAUGAUUUUUAAAUGAUAAUUAUAAUUUAACUCUUAAAAUUAAUAAGUAAAAUAGUCAAGAUUAAAGACAUUUACAAAAAUAUAGAUUUUAGAGCAACAAUUAAUAGUUUCUUAAAUAUUAAAAAUCUCUAGCCCUAUUUAUAUAUUGUAUUAUAGAAUUAUUAAAAAUGUACUUUAAUUUGUAUGAUCUUAUCUAGGAUUUUGGAUAUGUUCAUUUUUGAUAUUUUUUAUUAGUUUUGGUCUUACCCGAAUUUUGUUAUAAUUAGCAUUAUGGAAAUUUGGCCGAAAUCUACUAAAGAUCUCAAUUAUCGAUGUGUUCAUUAUCUUUGAUAAGUUAAUAUUAAAUUAAAGUCCAUUGUUCGGUUAUUUUCUAAGAUCGUAUAUGGUCUAUUCACACAAGUAAGAUAAUGUUAAGAAUAACGAUUUGUUGUACAAUUUAUUUUUACAUAAUAUAAAUUACUAUGUAUUUAUAAUAAGUGUUCAAAUUGUCUUCCUCUUUGAUUAAAACAUAUAUUUAAUCUUUUUUGGAAGUUA
This is a long non-coding RNA of Metopolophium dirhodum (rose-grain aphid), 2533 nucleotides long. RefSeq lists it as uncharacterized. The transcript is spliced from 2 exons. The record is from RefSeq and is a predicted model, not a curated record. NCBI's taxonomy places the organism in Eukaryota, Metazoa, Arthropoda, Insecta, Hemiptera, Aphididae.